GAUGAAGAACGUAGCGAAAUGCGAUAAGUAAUGUGAAUUGCAGAAUUCAGUGAAUCAUCGAAUCUUUGAACGCACAUUGCGCCCCUUGGUAUUCCGAGGGGCAUGCCUGUUCGAGCGUCAUUAUAACGCCUCAAGCUCAGCUUGGUGUUGGGGCCUGCCGCACGAGCAGCCCUUAAAAUCAGUGGCGGUGCCAUCUGGCUCUAAGCGUAGUAAUUCUUCUCGCUAUAGAGUCCCGGUGGAUGCUUGCCAUUAACCCCCAAUUUUCUAUGGUUGACCUCGGAUCAGGUAGGGAUACCCGCUGAACUUAAGCAUAUCAAUAAGCGGAGGA
Molecule: unclassified non-coding RNA, 328 nt
Filed under: soil metagenome
Description: partial contains 5.8S ribosomal RNA, internal transcribed spacer 2, and large subunit ribosomal RNA
Rfam family: 5.8S ribosomal RNA (bases 1-120)
Source: RNAcentral